CCCGGUGAGGAGUUGUGGACGGCUGGCGAUGGUCGGCGUCCUGCGAGGCAGAGGGAGGCCUAAGAGGUAUUGGGGAGAGGUGAUUAGGCAUGACAUGGCUAGAAUGCGGGUUUCCGAGGACAUGGCCCUUGAUAGGAAAGUCUGGAGGUGUAGUAUUAGGGUUGUAGGAUAGGGGCCCCUAGAGUUUUUCGUACUACUCACCGAGGGUUGGGUGAGGCUUGGCAGGGCUAUCCAUAGAUGAUUUGUGUUUUGGAUUGUGUCUCUCUUAUGGUAGUUAUUUA
Molecule: long non-coding RNA, 281 nt
Filed under: Nicotiana benthamiana
Lineage: Eukaryota; Viridiplantae; Streptophyta; Magnoliopsida; Solanales; Solanaceae
Description: long non-coding RNA (NBEN_LNC007606)
Source: RNAcentral